GCGGGGGUAGCUCAGCGUGGGAGAGCACGCGCUUUACAAGCGCGAGGUCGCAGGUUCGAGCCCUGCCCCCUGCA
RNAcentral lists this transfer RNA (74 nucleotides) under bacterium. RNAcentral's name for it is "tRNA-Val". It matches the Rfam family "tRNA". Rfam says of the family: Transfer RNA (tRNA) molecules are approximately 80 nucleotides in length. Their secondary structure includes four short double-helical elements and three loops (D, anti-codon, and T loops). The record is from RNAcentral.